Molecule: ribosomal RNA, 373 nt
Filed under: uncultured organism
Description: bacterial SSU rRNA
Rfam family: Bacterial small subunit ribosomal RNA
Source: RNAcentral
CGUAGGGUCCAAGCGUUAUCCGGAAUCACUGGGCGUAAAGCGUGCGUAGGUGGCGCAUUAAGUGAGAUGUUAAAUCGUGUGGCUCAACCAUAUCGAUGCAUCUCAUACUGGUGUGCUAGAGGACGGCAGAGGCAAGUGGAAUUAGCAGUGUAGCAGUGAAAUGCGUAGAUAUUGCUAGGAACACCAAUGGCGAAGGCAGCUUGCUGGGCCACUCCUGACACUGAGGUACGAAAGCGUGGGGAGCGAACAGGAUUAGAUACCCUGGUAGUCCACGCCGUAAACGAUGCAUACUAGUCGUAUGGGGUAUCGACCCCCUGUGCGACGCAGCUAACGCGUUAAGUAUGCCGCCUGGGAAGUACGGCCGCAAGGCUAA